GGCGGUGUCGACCUUGGCAGCACCGAGGCCGAGCGCGUCUUGAA
RNAcentral lists this small RNA (44 nucleotides) under Sinorhizobium meliloti 2011. Its description in RNAcentral is "putative ncRNA". The record is from RNAcentral. Lineage: Bacteria; Pseudomonadati; Pseudomonadota; Alphaproteobacteria; Hyphomicrobiales; Rhizobiaceae.